This 885-nucleotide unclassified non-coding RNA is filed under the name Hevea brasiliensis (rubber tree). Lineage: Eukaryota; Viridiplantae; Streptophyta; Magnoliopsida; Malpighiales; Euphorbiaceae. The record is from RNAcentral.
CUCAUCAUGCUAUCUUUUACAGAUGCACUGUAAUUUUUUUUUUAAUUUUUUUUCAUUUUAAUUUUUUUUUAUUAGAAUUGUUUCUUUUUAAUUUAUUUUUUCAUUAUUGGUUAAAUGAGUAUUGGGAUAUGCAUAUUGUCAGAUGAAUAUUGUGAUUUUGAUAUGCUUUUUGUUAAAUAGGUAUUGUGAUAUGAUGUGCUUGAGAAAGAAUUGAAGUGUAUUUGCAAGUAGUUUUUUCAUUUUGAAAUGGGUAUUAUGGCUUGUUUUAUAAUGUCUCUAUUAAUAUUUCUUAUGCAAUAAAGAUCAUAGAUAUUUAAGAUGUGAAAUGUUGAAUGUAAAGACAAUGGUUGUAUACAACUUCCUUUUGGGCAUACCAAAUUUUGCAAGUCUUGUGUAAUAUGCUUUUUUACUUAUUAAACUAGUUAAAAGUAUGAUAUUUUUAUGAUAAAAUUAUGUGUAUAUAUAUAUAUAAUUUAAGCAAGUUAGGCUAUGGCAUCUCGCUUCAAAAAAGGCCUCGUCUUGCCUUGCCUCGCCUCUUGCAAAAGGCCAUAGGAUACCCUGUAGCCUUUCGCCUUAAUAACACUGGUUCACUCUGUAUAGAAAACUAAAUGAUUUUGUGAUAAAGUGAAGAAUUCUUAGCACAUAUUCAUGUCUAGUGUGCAUGUGAUUGUGUGUGUGAGAUGGUGAGAGGAGGAGAGGGGGGAGAUUUCCCCCAUCUUCAUUCUCCACCCACAUUGGGUCAGACUCAGAGAAGGGCAAACAACCAUACCUACACAUAUAACAAAUAGAAGUAGAACAUGAUAUCGAGAUCAUGUAAUUUGAACUAUGCUUGCAAACAUCCACAACUCUGCACUUACCUGAGCAGUGAGAUUUUGAACCAGCAGA